This 1913-nucleotide long non-coding RNA is filed under the name Olea europaea subsp. europaea. Lineage: Eukaryota; Viridiplantae; Streptophyta; Magnoliopsida; Lamiales; Oleaceae. The record is from RNAcentral.
GAAAUUAUUAAAAAGAUCAUCAUUGAUGAUACAAUAAUCAUACGUUCAUUCCAGGUAAACUCAACUGAUGAAUUUGAUAAAUGAUAACUGUUUAAUAAAUAUUCAAACUUUGGAAUCUCAAAACCUGCAUCCAAAAUACGCAAAAAUUUCCAUCAAAUAAUUAUCCAUAACAAAAUUAAGUUCUAACCACAUAAUUUCCUAAUAAAAAUACUUCAAAACCACAUGCACAAGAGUUAUAAACUUAACCCAUCGACUAAUUGCAACUUCAAAGUGAAAUACUCAAAAUUGAAGAAAUUACACCUGUAGAACAGCAUGAAGCUAAAAUUGAAAACAAAUUUUGACGCAGCAUUUCACAAUUAAAAAAGGUAGAAUAAAGUUUUCCAAGAAAAUUACUUUAUUUUAUAAGAAUGGUGCAAAACACAGAAGCAUGGAAGAUCGCAAAUAUUCCACUUUGAUCCCCAGUUCCUCCAUCCGAGCUCACAAACUUACUGCAUGUUAGAGCUACGUCGUUUGGUGCGCAUGAUGAUGUUAUAGCAUCAAUUAGUUGACCAAGUGCUUUACCCAAUUCGAAUGGACAAGGCUAAGUGUUAUAUAGGCUCAUGUUUGAUCUAGUUAAAAAUAUUUCUAAAAUUUAAUCAUUAAUUAACUCUACAUUUUAUGAUAUCUACAAUUUUUAUUUAUUUUAUCAAAAUUUAUUAGAAUUUUAAUUUCUAACAUAACUAAAGAGGAGCUAAAGGGUCACGAAGUUGAUACUUGUGUAUGAAGGUUGAACAAUAGGCAUAGUAAUGACAACUAAAGAAAAGGUAAAGGGCUUGGAUACACCUCCGUAAAAAAAUACACUUUUGCCUCUUGUUCAUAACUAGUUGACAAGAAAUCCACAGAAAUUUGAAUUUUUUAGAAAUCAUGUCCUAUUCACGUGACAAAGGCAUGGAGCAGCAAGUCAGCAGUAGAGUUGUUUGACUUUGAAUUAGCUUUAUAUCCCAAAUGAAAACAAAGCAAGGCAGAUAUGUAGAAGAUAUAAAGCAAAAGUCCCACCUUAUUUUCCCCGUCGAUUUCACUCGCAUUGUGGUAGUGAAAUUGAAAUCCGGUUAAGGCGAAAUCCCUCGAUGCACAACUGCUCUUCGCAAGUCGUUCUCCCAAAUCGAAGCCCCGACUCCCCAACCGUGAAGAUUGUGAUGCCCAGCUCCGACAAUGGCCAAAUCUUCAUUUCCCCAACACCAAAAAACACAGUGGAACCAAACUCAGGUGGUUGUCAUUGUGUUUCAGAUAGAACUCGUUUUUUUAGAACUUCGUUGAAAAUGCACAGUGUCAAUAUCUUUUGCUAGAAGGUUGUGAUUCGGAUUCCAUGCUGUGUAAAUGUUGCUUGUUGGCACAAGUGAAUAUUUGAUGCUUCUUCAAGAUGAUAGUGUACUUUUUAUAGUUGUUCCUCCAAGGUUGAAUUCAAUGAAACAUGAAUUGUGGCAAUUGGAAUGUAUUAUCCAAAUCGGAUAUGAUUAGGCGUUUGCGUGGGUUGGGUUGGGUCGGGUCGAUUUUUUCCCCAACCCAACUUGAUCGGUUUGGUCGAAAUUUAACCCAACCCAACCCGUGUCAAGGUUGAAACCCAACCCAACCCAAUCAAGUAUCGGUCGGGUUGGGUUGGGUUGAUCGGUUUGGGACAACUUAUCAAUAAAGCUUAAACAAGUGCAUUCGUAAGUAAAUAAGAAAGCUUUAACUUGUCCAUUUAAGGAUUGGCAAGAACUUGUCCAUUUUUUACGGUAAGGUAUAGUACCAAUUAAUCAAAACCAAAGCCUCAUCAAUCUCACUCAAUCUUUCAACAAUAAAUAGGACACUACACUAAUUAUCCAUAAAAGAACAAGCAACAGAAUCACAAAUCACAAAUAACAGCAUUUAAUGGAAUUUGAUUUGUCUUUCCA